ACCCAGUAGUGAUAAAAAAAAGUUUCUUCACCUGGGGAGAGGGCAAGCUAUUAACCUGCUAUCUCUUCCCACCUGGUAUUGUAGGAAUGCCUUGCACAUCCCCCCCGCUUUUUUUUUAACAUUCCCCCUUCUUGUCUGAACUGUCCUCAACAACAUAAGAUCCUCAUCAGCAUAACAACCCUGGCCAUCCUCUGAGUCAUCCAAUACUCCCUCCAAUUAUUGUGUGCACCCAAAAAUAGUGGCUAGCUCAGUGUGUCUCUGUCUUUGCCUACCCUAAGGCAUUGAGCUCCCAGCCCCCUGUGAUAAAUUACUAAAUUUGUCUCUGUCUCUUAUUUCACCCUUUUGCUGUACCCCUCAUGCAGGCAGUUGGGAAUCUUGGCCAGGUCCCCAAUGGUAAUCACACACAUGCACAGGUGCUGCCCUUUCGAGGAGGGUUCAGCCAGCCUUUCCACCAUCAUGGAAGCCUUGGUGAGCCCCUUGGGAGGGGAGAGACGCUGCCCAUUGCCUCUCCUCCAUCUUGGGAACCUCAGUGCAGAGGAACCCAGGUGCCUGGCCAUUUACCCUACACUGUGGGUCAGGCAGUCAGCACAGGAGGUGCCCGAGACUCAGCACCCAGCUCAUCCAAAGGAACCCAAGGUAAAUCCACUCUAACAAGGGAAAACACUUUGCAUACAAC
Molecule: long non-coding RNA, 676 nt
Filed under: Chinchilla lanigera (long-tailed chinchilla)
Lineage: Eukaryota; Metazoa; Chordata; Mammalia; Rodentia; Chinchillidae
Description: lncRNA (ENSCLAG00000025102.1)
Source: RNAcentral